RNAcentral lists this ribosomal RNA (421 nucleotides) under uncultured bacterium. RNAcentral describes it as "bacterial SSU rRNA". It matches the Rfam family "Bacterial small subunit ribosomal RNA", at positions 29 to 453 of the family's 1533-position model. The record is from RNAcentral.
AUUGAACGCUGGCGGCAUGCCUUACACAUGCAAGUCGAACGGCAGCACGGGGGCAACCCUGGUGGCGAGUGGCGAACGGGUGAGUAAUACAUCGGAACGUGCCCAGUAGUGGGGGAUAGCCCGGCGAAAGCCGGAUUAAUACCGCAUGCGACCUACGGGUGAAAGCGGGGGAUCGCAAGACCUCGCGCUGUUGGAGCGGCCGAUGUCAGAUUAGGUUGUUGGUGGGGUAAAGGCCACCAAGCCGACGAUCUGUAGCUGGUCUGAGAGGACGACCAGCCACACUGGGACUGAGACACGGCCCAGACUCCUACGGGAGGCAGCAGUUGGGAAUAUUGGGCAAUGGGCGCAAGCCUGACCCAGCGACACCGCGUGGGGACGAAGGCCUCCGGGUUGUAAACCCCUGUCAUGAGGGACGAAGCCG